AUGGCGAGCCCGUCGAGCAGCCUGUGGGGCGCCCUGGGGCAAGCCUCCACCAUGGCGCAGCUGGUGGGCGUGGACGUGCUCGGGCUGGUCUCCAUGGUCUUGCAGGCCGCCCUGGUGGCGCGCCGCCACCGGGAUGCCUGCUUGCGGCUCGCGCAGCACGUGGAGCUCGUCGGCGGCCUGCUAAGGGAGCUGGAGCUCGCCGAGCUGAUGCGGCGGGAGGCCACCAUGCGACCGCUGGAGCAGCUCGGCGGCGCGCUACGGCGGUGCUACGCGCUGGUCACGGCGUGCCAGGACUGCGGCUACCUCCGCCGCCUGCUCCUGGGUGCCCGGAUGGCCGACGAGCUCCGCGUGGCACAGCAAGAGAUCGACAUGUUCAUCCGCCUCAUCCCGCUCAUCGCCCUCGUCGACAAUUCUACUGCAGAUAGUCGCCGUGUCAAGCAGGCUGAUGAGGGGGUGCUCUCUGUAGUCACAGAUAGUUCAAAUCGUCACAUCAGGUUUCGAACAAAAUCUUUGGAGUUGACCAAAAUCCGCAUUCAAGGAGCUACUGAACUCUGCAAUGCUGGAGAACAACCAUUUGUAGGAAAAGUGGACCUGCGAGAACAGAAUAUCGUUGACAUUGAAGAACUUGUGGAACUUUGUACCCGUAUGGAAGAGGCUUGCUCGGGAUUCACAAGGUUCGGUUUCUGUCAGAUCUUGGAUGCUACAGACAAUUUCUCAGAGAAGAUGAUAGUUGGGUGGGGAGGAUUUGGGAAGGUGUACAAGGGCCAGUUGCCUGGUGGACUUAAUGUUGCCAUCAAAAGAGCUGAUGAGCACGCAGCAAUGCUUGAAGUCAACAGUGAAUUGCAGCUUGCAAAGCUUCAGCAUGCCAAUGUGAUUAGGUUAUUGGGGUGGUGCAUCCAUGGGAAAGAAAGGAUUCUAGUGUAUGAGUUCAUGCAAAAUGGUUCCUUGGAUCGUUACCUAUGCGACAGAACAAAAGGGCCAAUGCUAAACUGGUCUAAGCGAUUCAAGAUAAUUACAGGGUUAACAGAGGGAAUUGUUUACCUGCAUAAGCACUCCAUGUUCUGGCUUGUCCACAGAGACUUGAAACCACAUAAUGUCCUCUUGGAUUGUAACAUGCUCCCAAAGAUUGCUGAUUUUGGAUCAGCUAGAGCUCUGAGUUCAGAACUAGCAGAAGAGCGCACGAGUAGGGUCGUGGGAACCAGUGGUUACAAGGCUCCGGAGUAUGCAUCUCGAGGAGUUUACUCGAUGAAGACAGAUGUGUUCAGCUUUGGCGUUUUGGUUCUGGUGAUUAUUAGUGGCCGAAAGAAUACCAUACUCGACAAGCGAGGGGUUGGUGAUCUUGUACGAGAUGCCUGGCGUAUGUGGAAGGACCAAAAGUUGCAUGAGCUUGUGGAUCCAUUGUUAGGGGAUGGAUAUGAAGUCUCUGAGAUAACGAAAUGUGCUCAGGUGGCACUACUUUGUGCUCAGGAAGAUCCAACAGAUCGGCCCACCAUGACAGAUGUUGCUGCAAUGCUGAACUCUGAAAGUAUAAGCUUACCAAUGGAGCCUAAGCAGCCCGCUGCGCUGAUCCAUGGGUGUGCCGAGAGAGACACGACAUCAACAUAUGUGAGCCAAUCAAGCAGGACAAUAGACAUAACGAUAACGAGUUCAGCUCCAAUGUCGACCAGAGUUCGAAUCAUUCUAGACCCGGAGGUUUGA
This 1698-nucleotide ribosomal RNA is filed under the name Triticum aestivum (bread wheat). Its description in RNAcentral is "partial small subunit ribosomal RNA". Lineage: Eukaryota; Viridiplantae; Streptophyta; Magnoliopsida; Poales; Poaceae. The record is from RNAcentral.